Molecule: ribosomal RNA, 497 nt
Filed under: uncultured bacterium
Lineage: Bacteria
Description: partial 16S ribosomal RNA
Rfam family: Bacterial small subunit ribosomal RNA
Source: RNAcentral
GAUGAACGCUGGCGGCGUGCCUAAUACAUGCGAGUCGAGCGAACAGACGAGGAGCUUGCUCCUCUGACGUUAGCGGCGGACGGGUGAGUAACACGUGGAUAACCUACCUAUAAGACUGGGAUAACUUCGGGAAACCGGAGCUAAUACCGGAUAAUAUAUUUAACCGCAUGGUUCAAUAGUGAAAGACGGUUUUGCUGUCACUUAUAGAUGGAUCCGCGCCGCAUUAGCUAGUUGGUAAGGUAACGGCUUACCAAGGCAACGAUGCGUAGCCGACCUGAGAGGGUGAUCAGCCACACUGGAACUGAGACACGGUCCAGACUCCUACGGGAGGCAGCAGUAGGGAAUCUUCCGCAAUGGGCGAAAGCCUGACGGAGCAACGCCGCGUGAGUGAUGAAGGUCUUCGGAUCGUAAAACUCUGUUAUUAGGGAAGAACAAAUGUGUAAGUAACUAUGCACGUCUUGACGGUACCUAAUCAGAAAGCCACGGCUAACUACGUG